Molecule: ribosomal RNA, 466 nt
Filed under: Brachymonas sp. canine oral taxon 015
Lineage: Bacteria; Pseudomonadati; Pseudomonadota; Betaproteobacteria; Burkholderiales; Comamonadaceae
Description: bacterial SSU rRNA
Rfam family: Bacterial small subunit ribosomal RNA
Source: RNAcentral
GAGUUUGAUCAUGGCUCAGAUUGAACGCUGGCGGCAUGCUUUACACAUGCAAGCCGAACGGCAGCACAAGGAGCUUGCUCCUGGGUGGCGAGUGGCGAACGGGUGAGUAAUGUAUCGGAACGUGCCUGGUAGUGGGGGAUAACCACUCGAAAGAGUGGCUAAUACCGCAUGAGAUCUCUGGAUGAAAGCGGGGGACCUUUUGGCCUCGCGCUACUGGAGCGGCCGAUAUCAGAUUAGGUAGUUGGUGGGGUAAAGGCCUACCAAGCCUGCGAUCUGUAGCUGGUCUGAGAGGACGACCAGCCACACUGGGACUGAGACACGGCCCAGACUCCUACGGGAGGCAGCAGUGGGGAAUUUUGGACAAUGGGCGCAAGCCUGAUCCAGCAAUGCCGCGUGCAGGACGAAGGCCCUCGGGUUGUAAACUGCUUUUGUACAGAACGAAAACUCUCUGGUUAAUACCUGGGGA